RNAcentral lists this ribosomal RNA (919 nucleotides) under Pediococcus acidilactici. RNAcentral's name for it is "bacterial SSU rRNA". It matches the Rfam family "Bacterial small subunit ribosomal RNA", at positions 48 to 921 of the family's 1533-position model. The record is from RNAcentral. Lineage: Bacteria; Bacillati; Bacillota; Bacilli; Lactobacillales; Lactobacillaceae.
CUAAAAUACGCAAGUCGAACGAACUUCCGUUAAUUGAUUAUGACGUGCUUGCACUGAAUGAGAUUUUUACACGAAGUGAGUGGCGGACGGGUGAGUAACACGUGGGUAACCUGCCCAGAAGCAGGGGAUAACACCUGGAAACAGAUGCUAAUACCGUAUAACAGAGAAAACCGCCUGGUUUUCUUUUAAAAGAUGGCUCUGCUAUCACUUCUGGAUGGACCCGCGGCGCAUUAGCUAGUUGGUGAGGUAACGGCUCACCAAGGCGAUGAUGCGUAGGCGACCUGAGAGGGUAAUCGGCCACAUUGGGACUGAGACACGGCCCAGACUCCUACGGGAGGCAGCAGUAGGGAAUCUUCCACAAUGGACGCAAGUCUGAUGGAGCAACGCCGCGUGAGUGAAGAAGGGUUUCGGCUCGUAAAGCUCUGUUGUUAAAGAAGAACGUGGGUGAGAGUAACUGUUCACCCAGUGACGGUAUUUAACCAGAAAGCCACGGCUAACUACGUGCCAGCAGCCGCGGUAAUACGUAGGUGGCAAGCGUUAUCCGGAUUUAUUGGGCGUAAAGCGAGCGCAGGCGGUCUUUUAAGUCUAAUGUGAAAGCCUUCGGCUCAACCGAAGAAGUGCAUUGGAAACUGGGAGACUUGAGUGCAGAAGAGGACAGUGGAACUCCAUGUGUAGCGGUGAAAUGCGUAGAUAUAUGGAAGAACACCAGUGGCGAAGGCGGCUGUCUGGUCUGUAACUGACGCUGAGGCUCGAAAGCAUGGGUAGCGAACAGGAUUAGAUAGCCUGGUAGUCCAUGCCGUAAACGAUGAUUACUAAGUGUUGGAGGGUUUCCGCCCUUCAGUGCUGCAGCUAACGCAUUAAGUAAUCCGCCUCGGGAGUACGACCGCAAGGUUGAAACUCAAAAGAAUUGAAUGCCCUU